This 84-nucleotide transfer RNA is filed under the name Caudoviricetes sp. Its description in RNAcentral is "tRNA-Leu". It matches the Rfam family "tRNA". Rfam says of the family: Transfer RNA (tRNA) molecules are approximately 80 nucleotides in length. Their secondary structure includes four short double-helical elements and three loops (D, anti-codon, and T loops). The record is from RNAcentral. Lineage: Duplodnaviria; Heunggongvirae; Uroviricota; Caudoviricetes.
GCCGCUGUGACGGAAUUGGCAGACGAAAGGGACUUAAAAUCCCUCGAUGGAAACAUCGUGCGGGUUCAAAUCCCGCCAGCGGCA